RNAcentral lists this small nuclear RNA (125 nucleotides) under Erinaceus europaeus (western European hedgehog). RNAcentral's name for it is "U2 spliceosomal RNA (ENSEEUG00000020061.1)". It matches the Rfam family "U2 spliceosomal RNA". Rfam says of the family: U2 is a small nuclear RNA (snRNA) component of the spliceosome (involved in pre-mRNA splicing). Complementary binding between U2 snRNA (in an area lying towards the 5' end but 3' to hairpin I) and the branchpoint sequence (BPS) of the intron results the bulging out of an unpaired adenosine, on the BPS, which initiates a nucleophilic attack at the intronic 5' splice site, thus starting the first of two transesterification reactions that mediate splicing. The record is from RNAcentral. Lineage: Eukaryota; Metazoa; Chordata; Mammalia; Eulipotyphla; Erinaceidae.
GUCACUUCUCAGCCUUUUGGCUAAGAUCAAGUGUACUGUCUGUUCUUAUCAGUUUAGUAAAUAAAUAAAUAAAUUUUUAAAAAAGAAGAGCAACUGAACUUUAGAUCUUCAACUCUUGACUUUUA